This 603-nucleotide ribosomal RNA is filed under the name uncultured bacterium. Its description in RNAcentral is "bacterial SSU rRNA". It matches the Rfam family "Bacterial small subunit ribosomal RNA", at positions 81 to 680 of the family's 1533-position model. The record is from RNAcentral.
UGCUCUGGUGGCGAGUGGCGAACGGGUGAGUAAUAUAUCGGAACGUACCCUAGAGUGGGGGAUAACGUAGCGAAAGUUACGCUAAUACCGCAUACGAUCUAAGGAUGAAAGUGGGGGAUCGCAAGACCUCAUGCUCGUGGAGCGGCCGAUAUCUGAUUAGCUAGUUGGUAGGGUAAAAGCCUACCAAGGCAUCGAUCAGUAGCUGGUCUGAGAGGACGACCAGCCACACUGGAACUGAGACACGGUCCAGACUCCUACGGGAGGCAGCAGUGGGGAAUUUUGGACAAUGGGCGAAAGCCUGAUCCAGCAAUGCCGCGUGAGUGAAGAAGGCCUUCGGGUUGUAAAGCUCUUUUGUCAGGGAAGAAACGGUGAAGGCUAAUAUCCUUUGCUAAUGACGGUACCUGAAGAAUAAGCACCGGCUAACUACGUGCCAGCAGCCGCGGUAAUACGUAGGGUGCAAGCGUUAAUCGGAAUUACUGGGCGUAAAGCGUGCGCAGGCGGUUUUGUAAGUCUGAUGUGAAAUCCCCGGGCUCAACCUGGGAAUUGCAUUGGAGACUGCAAGGCUAGAAUCUGGCAGAGGGGGGUAGAAUUCCACGUGUAGCA